GAUGAACGCUGGCGGCGUGCCUAAUACAUGCAAGUCGAGCGAACGGACGAGAAGCUUGCUUCUCUGAUGUUAGCGGCGGACGGGUGAGUAACACGUGGAUAACCUACCUAUAAGACUGGGAUAACUUCGGGAAACCGGAGCUAAUACCGGAUAAUAUUUUGAACCGCAUGGUUCAAAAGUGAAAGACGGUCUUGCUGUCACUUAUAGAUGGAUCCGCGCUGCAUUAGCUUGUUGGUAAGGUAACGGCUUACCAAGGCAACGAUUCAUAGCCGACCUGAGAGGGGGGGCGGGCACACUAGAACGGAGACACGGUCCAGACUACGACGGGAGGCGGCAGAAGAGAAUGUUACGCAAUGGGAGAGAGGCUGACGGAGCAACGCCGAGUGGGGGAUGAAGGUCUUCGGAUCGUAAAACUAUGUUAUUAGGGAAGAACAUAUGUGUAAGUAACUGUGCACAUCUUGACGGUACCUAAUCAGAAAGCCACGGCUAACUACGUG
Molecule: ribosomal RNA, 497 nt
Filed under: uncultured bacterium
Lineage: Bacteria
Description: partial 16S ribosomal RNA
Rfam family: Bacterial small subunit ribosomal RNA
Source: RNAcentral